This 1583-nucleotide long non-coding RNA is filed under the name Anas platyrhynchos platyrhynchos (common mallard). RNAcentral's name for it is "lncRNA (ENSAPLG00000016839.1)". The record is from RNAcentral. Lineage: Eukaryota; Metazoa; Chordata; Aves; Anseriformes; Anatidae.
AUUCUUAGACUGAUCCAAUAAGUUUAAAUCUAAAUCUGGGCAAUUUCUCUCUAGCUUUAAUACAGUUGCCAUUGGGAAAAAAAAAAAAAAAAAGCCAAAUUCUCUGAUGUCUUCAUUAUUUCAAAAGUGGGCAACAAGUGGUGAACAUUUUUGUGGACUCUAGGUGGGCAAUCCAACAGAGAAAUAUGCAGAUCACUGCACUGAGGUAGCCCAGAAAACAUACAUCUGAUUUCACCCAGCUAUAAUAGUCAUCUGAGUCCACAUGUCCUCCAACACUGUACACCUGGGAAGACUUACUCAUUCAAGAGCAACUUUAGGCCUGAGUGUAUUCUAUGAACUUGUGUGGUUUCUAGAUCUGCCUAUAUUUUCCCAGUCCUGGGAAUCAGAGGCAGAAAUAACCUCAGUUGUUAGGGGGAAGAGGCUACACAGGAGUGUCCUCUUCACCUUCCUGAGUCUGAAGACAGAUAUUUACCUCCAUUACAGGACAUGACGGAGGAGCUGAAGAGAAACUAUGGUACUGUGCUGCAGCUAGCAAGUAUGUGAAUUGCCACUGAUUCAGGUCUUUUUAGAGGUUUCAGUCCUUGUUCUAAGAUGUUCCAUAACACAACAGCUGUGUCCCUCAGAAGAAGAAACAUCAGUACACGGAAAUCAUGGAGAAGCUCCUAUGAUCUUCAAGCAAUUACCCACCAAUACUGCUACCUGCAGAAAAUAAACUGCUUGAUUAGUUUCUGGUUUGAAAAGGCAGCCACUGGGUCAUGCUGUCAGUGUAGCAGGCUGGUUGGCAUCGCACAGAGAUAUGCAAAAACAUUAAGGAAGGCAAAUGUCUCUUGUGGUGAAUGAAGCUGAACUCAACCAAGAGAGUAAAUAGAGCACAAGCCUGAUUCAAAUAUGAUCUGCAAAAACUCCUCUCCUCCCUUUGACUGUGGUAAGAUCCUAUGUAGAUUAAGCUUCUUAUGGCAAAUUAGGAUAUAACCACAGUUCCUAUUUCCUGGAGAUAUUCAUAGUCAGAUUAUGUAUAAUUGCCUUUUUAAUAUAUAUUUUUUCUGUACAAGUCAGCUCUGCUUGUCCUUUGAUCUUUUUCUGUAAUAGGUCCACAGGCUUCUACUGUAUCUACAAACCUCUUCAUUGCUGAGCAACACAGGUGGUACUGCCUGUGUUGGUCUAUGGUAGGAUGUUUCAGUAUUUACACCUCAGACUUUCCAUUUUUUCUCCUUUUAACUAUUAUUCACCAUUAAAUCAUCAGCUACUGUGAAAUCCAGUUCUACUUUAGCAUAACUGCCUUCCAGGUACUGUUAUUUCACUGUGCUUCCCAAUACUUUUCAGUGAGUACGUUUUCCAAGAAGUAUGCACCUCCAUUUGCCACAUCUAUUUCUGUACAAGCCUUCACAUAAUUGCUCUAACUUGAAAAGCAUUUUUACAUUAGGCAUAUGAAUAUGAUUAUGAAUAUAAUUAACCCUUAAAGGAAAAGACAAAUGAGCAUGUCUACAAAUGAGCAUGUAGGAACAUGUCAACCUAGUUCCUAGGUCCGCAACUUAGAUUUGAGUAGCCCAGGAUGCAUACAAGGCAUAGCACAGGCAUAGUGG